This 253-nucleotide ribosomal RNA is filed under the name uncultured bacterium. RNAcentral describes it as "partial 16S ribosomal RNA". It matches the Rfam family "Bacterial small subunit ribosomal RNA", at positions 524 to 776 of the family's 1533-position model. The record is from RNAcentral.
UACGUAGGGUGCAAGCGUUGUCCGGAAUUAUUGGGCGUAAAGAGCUCGUAGGCGGUUCGUCGCGUCGGCUGUGAAAUCCCGGAGCUCAACUCCGGGUCUGCAGUCGAUACGGGCGGACUUGAGUACUGCAGGGGAGACUGGAAUUCCUGGUGUAGCGGUGAAAUGCGCAGAUAUCAGGAGGAACACCGGUGGCGAAGGCGGCUCUCUGGGACGGUACUGACGCUGAGACGCGAAAGCGUGGGGAGCGAACAGG